GAUGAACGCUAGCGACAGGCUUAACACAUGCAAGUCGAGGGGCAGCAUAAAGGUAGCAAUACGUUUGGUGGCGACCGGCGCACGGGUGAGUAACGCGUAUGCAACCUACCUAUCGAGAGGGGGACUAACCCGGCGAAAGUCGGACUAAUACCGCAUAAAACAGGGGCACCGCAUGGUGAUAUUUGUUAAAAAUUUAUUGCUGAUAGAUGGGCAUGCGUUCCAUUAGGUAGUUGGAGAGGUAACGGCUCACCAAGCCUACGAUGGAUAGGGGAACUGAGAGGUUGGUCCCCCACACUGGUACUGAGACACGGACCAGACUCCUACGGGAGGCAGCAGUGAGGAAUAUUGGUCAAUGGGCGAGAGCCUGAACCAGCCAAGUCGCGUGAAGGAAGAAGGAUCUAUGGUUCGUAAACUUCUUUUGCAGGGGAAUAAAGUGCAGGACGUGUCCUGUUUUGUAUGUACCCUGAGAAUAAGGAUCGGCUAACUCCGUG
RNAcentral lists this ribosomal RNA (491 nucleotides) under uncultured bacterium. Its description in RNAcentral is "bacterial SSU rRNA". It matches the Rfam family "Bacterial small subunit ribosomal RNA", at positions 28 to 507 of the family's 1533-position model. The record is from RNAcentral.